Molecule: unclassified non-coding RNA, 231 nt
Filed under: plant metagenome
Description: partial contains small subunit ribosomal RNA, internal transcribed spacer 1, and 5.8S ribosomal RNA
Source: RNAcentral
UCUCCGUUGGUGAACCAGCGGAGGGAUCAUUACAGAGUUGCAAAACUCCCAAACCAUUGUGAACGUUACCUAUCCCGUAGCUUCGGCGGGCGGCCCGGGCCCCGCGCCCGGCGCCCCCCGGCCCCCCGUGGGCGCCCGCCGGAGGUAAACCAAACCCUUGAAUUGCAUGGCCUCUCUGAGUCUUCUGUACUGAAUAAGUCAAAACUUUCAACAACGGAUCUCUUGGUUCUG